GGGGCCGUAGCGCAGCUGGGAGCGCGCCUGACUGGCAGUCAGGAGGUUCGAGGGUUCGAUCCCCUCCGGCUCCACCA
Molecule: transfer RNA, 77 nt
Filed under: Candidatus Omnitrophota bacterium
Lineage: Bacteria; Pseudomonadati; Candidatus Omnitrophota
Description: Candidatus Omnitrophica bacterium tRNA-Ala
Rfam family: tRNA
About the family: Transfer RNA (tRNA) molecules are approximately 80 nucleotides in length.
Source: RNAcentral